RNAcentral lists this ribosomal RNA (358 nucleotides) under Diproctacanthus xanthurus. RNAcentral describes it as "partial 12S ribosomal RNA". It matches the Rfam family "Bacterial small subunit ribosomal RNA", at positions 1022 to 1533 of the family's 1533-position model. The record is from RNAcentral. Lineage: Eukaryota; Metazoa; Chordata; Actinopteri; Labriformes; Labridae.
UUUCUUGUCUAAUCUGCCUAUAUACCGCCGUCGUCAGCUUACUCUGUGAAGAGCUUGCAGUAAGCACAACUGGCACAGCCUAAAACGCCAGGUCGAGGUGUAGCGAAUGGAAAGGGAAGAAAUGGGCUACAUUCAAUACCAAUAAUGAAUACGAAUGACAUCCUGAAAAUAGAUGCCUGAAGGAGGAUUUAGUAGUAAGCAAAGAUUAGAGUGCUCUGCUGAAACCGGCCCUGAAGCGCGUACACACCGCCCGUCACUCUCCCCAAGCUAUAUUUAAAAACAUCGCUAAUAAACCAACACUGUAAAGGGGAGGCAAGUCGUAACAUGGUAAGUGUACCGGAAGGUGCGCUUGGAAAAA